RNAcentral lists this ribosomal RNA (768 nucleotides) under uncultured bacterium. Its description in RNAcentral is "bacterial SSU rRNA". It matches the Rfam family "Bacterial small subunit ribosomal RNA", at positions 28 to 776 of the family's 1533-position model. The record is from RNAcentral.
AUUGAACGCUGGCGGCAGGCUAACACAUGCAAGUCGAGCGGCAGCGACUUAACUGAACCUUCGGGGAACGUUAAGGGCGGCGAGCGGCGGACGGGUGAGUAAUGCCUGGGAAUAUGCCUUGAUGUGGGGGAUAACUAUUGGAAACGAUAGCUAAUACCGCAUAAUCUCUUCGGAGCAAAGAGGGGGACCUUCGGGCCUCUCGCGUCAGGAUUAGCCCAGGUGGGAUUAGCUUGUUGGUGAGGUAAUGGCUCACCAAGGCAACGAUCCCUAGCUGGUCUGAGAGGAUGAUCAGCCACACUGGAACUGAGACACGGUCCAGACUCCUACGGGAGGCAGCAGUGGGGAAUAUUGCACAAUGGGGGAAACCCUGAUGCAGCCAUGCCGCGUGUGUGAAGAAGGCCUUCGGGUUGUAAAGCACUUUCAGUAGGGAGGAAGGUAGUGUAGUUAACACCUGCAUUAUUUGACAUUACCUACAGAAGAAGCACCGGCUAACUCCGUGCCAGCAGCCGCGGUAAUACGGAGGGUGCGAGCGUUAAUCGGAAUUACUGGGCGUAAAGCGCAUGCAGGCGGCCUGUUAAGUCAGAUGUGAAAGCCCGGGGCUUAACCUCGGAAUUGCAUUUGAAACUGGCAGGCUAGAGUCUUGUAGAGGGGGGUAGAAUUUCAGGUGUAGCGGUGAAAUGCGUAGAGAUCUGAAGGAAUACCAGUGGCGAAGGCGGCCCCCUGGACAAAGACUGACGCUCAGAUGCGAAAGCGUGGGGAGCAAACAGG